Molecule: long non-coding RNA, 6160 nt
Filed under: Hordeum vulgare
Lineage: Eukaryota; Viridiplantae; Streptophyta; Magnoliopsida; Poales; Poaceae
Description: long non-coding RNA (HVUL_LNC000877)
Source: RNAcentral
AGCUGGGCUGGGCCAGGUAAGCGUCAGGUAAGAGUUUUCCCUUUUUUUCUGAUUUGUUUCUGUUUUGCUAUUUCAUUAACUUGCUAUUUAUUUCAUCUCCCAAAUAGUUUGUAAAAACUAUUUUAAACACACCAGAAUAUUUCUUGGAAUAUUUCCAACCAUUCCCAAACUUUUCAAUAUUUUUGAAAGUUUAAAGUUUCUGAUUUCAAAUUUAAAACUUGAAACCAGUAGCUUUUUGCAUUUAUUUAAAAUGCUUGAAGUGUCAAGAAAAUGGUUUUCUUCAUUACUAAUUUACUUUCAUGAUUUAUCAAAAAGAUUGAACUUUUCUUGAGGCCAUUUUGGGUUCACUGAUUUUAACUAGUUUGAAUUUUCCUUUAUUUUGAGAAGUGGCUAGGGUUUUUAGAAUUUUCCUUCACCACUUGCUUUGUUCUUGUUGAGAAUUUCCUAGAUGGAAUGCAAAGAAAACAUGAGCACAAAGCUAACUUUCUUAAGGUGUCAGGGAUGUGACACCUAGUGACAAGCAUUAAGCAUGGAAAAGUAGUAGCAACAUCAAUCUAAGAACAUAGUGGAUACUAGGGAUCAAUCCCCAUCAAAACUAACUCGAUUACCUGAUAGAUCUCAUCCUACUCAUCACCGCCCAGCGAGCCUAUGAAUAGAUUACUCACGAAAGACGAAGAGCUUCAUGGAAUUGGAGAGGGAAGAAGGUUGAUGAUGACGAUGGAGACAAUUUCCCCUCUCCGGAGCCCAAGACAGACUCCAAAUUUGCCUUCCAGAUGAAGAACAGGAGCUGGUGGCGCCUCCGUAUCGAAAACGCGACGAAAACUUCUCUUUUUAUUUUUUCUGGAACGAAAGGCAACUUAUAGAGCUGGAGUUGAGGGCGACAGGUGCCUGUGAGCCCCACAAGCCUGCCCACCGCCACUAGGUGGUGGUGGCGGAGCAGCGGCUUGUGGCCCACUGGGCCACCCCCUGAGGUGGAACUUGCAGAUAUUUUUGAUAUUUUCCAAAACUGCUCCCCGUAAAUUUUCAAGACGUUUGGAGAACUUUGAUUUCUGCACAAAAAUAACACCAAGGCAAUUCUGCUGAAAACAACGUCAGUCCAGGUUAGUUCCAUUCAAAUCAUGCAAAUUAUAGUCCAAAACAAGGGCUAAAGAGUUUGGAAAAGUAGAUACAUUGGAGACGUAUCACGUAGGCCCGUGGGUUCGUGUCGGUGCACUAGACUUGUGCACGGGCACCAGCAACACACUUGGCAGCAAUACACGAAGAAGGACAGUCGGGAAGAUACCCCAGGCUCGCCAAGACCACACCCCACCAAAGGUGUGAAGAACCAGCCCAAGCUACAAGGCCCUGGCAAGCCCUCCUUGCCGGGAAGACCCACAAGGCCCCAGCAAGCCCUCCUUGCCGGGAAGACUUGCAAGGCCCCGGCAAGCUCUCCUUGUUGGGAAGACGUCCAAGGCCCCGACAAGCCCUCCUUGUCAGGAAGAAGGGCUAGGCCGCAGACAAGGACGCCAGGACAGCAGGCUCCCUUCGCCCGCCAGGUGUCCCUCCUGUCACAGUGCCACUGACUUCACCGCCCCAGCGAAUCCCUCAUGCACCAGCACAAAGCCCAGGUGUCAAUACACAUGGGUACGUGUCGAAGCCACCUUGAUGCUCAUCAAGGGGCCUGAUAAGUCAUUUAGUGCCCCUGACACUUCAGUAGAUAGAUAAGCGGUGAACCCUGUUCACUAAGCAGCUCGUGACCACACUGUUGGUGACCCCUUUGCCUAUAAAAGGAGGCCCAAAGCUCAUUUCUAGUGGUUGGACCUUUUGGUGUUGGACCAUUUGGGGUUUAGACUCUUUGGUCACCAGCUAAUUACUGUAGCAAAUAACCCUACAGUAAGCACCCAAUACAAACAAAGCAUGAGUUGGGUUUUACGCGCCAAGCGGCCCGAACCUGGGUAAACGACCUUGUCGGUGUUGAUCUCUAGUUCCGCUCUUGGCGCCACCUCUCUCCCUCCACCAAACGAUUAAGGGAUCCUUAGAGUAUCCCAUAGGUGUCAUUUUCCCAACAAUACGUAUGCUUGAGUGUAUGCAUCUAAAUAUAAUUUUUAUAACAUAAUAUUUUCAAAAAAAAUCCUUUUUCUCAUUUUUUUAACUCAAAACCUUGCUUCGGUGUUUGGAGUACAAGUACCUGAUUUCGAGUGUGUGCCUUCACCCAAAUAUUGUAUUCACAUUCUAGCACUAUUAUAACUGUCCAAAAUAAUAAAAUAAUUAUUUUAUAAAUAUUUUCCUAUUUUAUUUGCAUGUCCUUUUCUGAGGCCAGAAAUGAUAUUUUCGAGUGGGAAAUUAUUUUUCUACCUUAGAAAAAUCUGAGAAAAUUUGGAGAUACUUAGAGGACAUAUAUUUUCCAUACAUAAGAUUUUCAACCCCUAUUUAUGUAAAGAAUAUUUGAGCAAACCAUUAAAAACCUAUUAUGCUUGUUUUGACCUUUUGAAAUAUUUCCAAAGGAAAUAUUCUCAAUACAUAACCAGAAAAUUCUAGCAUGUACCCCAACCUAUAUUUGGUGAUCAUGCCAAGUUUCACAUCAUUCCAAGGUGGUUUGGUUCACCAAAUAAUCCUAAAAUCCUUCAUGUCCACAUUCAAGUUGAAGCAAUUCUACAUUACAAAGUUUGUCCGAAUGGCCUAAAACUUUCCAGGAGUGCUCAAUACCCCAAAUGAGGGGAUCUUGCCAAGAAUUGGAUGUGUGGGGAUUAAUUUGCUCACAUUUUCCUCUUAUAAGGCACAACUAUCCAUUUGGGGGUGUUUUCAAGUGUAGGCUACUAAACUUAUCCAAUGGAUUUGUCCCAAACGCAAAUCAAAUACCUUCAGCCAGAUUGGUCAAACAACAUCUAGCACUCUCUACACCCACACCCUUCACUCCAAACUCCUAGCAUAGACUGCCAUCACCACUCCUCAACUGCACACGAUUGACCCCUCCCUGGUUCAAAGUGAGCGAACCAAAAAACCAAUGUAGCUCCUAGUUCAAUGCUGGCAAACUUCUUUAAGCAGCUCCCUUUGACCAGCACUAGUUCUCUCGGUUCCUAGCAACUGAAGGGCAUCUAACCCAACCCACAGACACACCAGACAUGGCCAAACACGCCAGAGCGUGCCAGCAUGUCGUGGCAUGCCAAAGCUGCGCUCUAGACGCGCUACAGAGCACACCCGAGGCUAGGGAGGCCAGCCCCGGCCGGUUCUCACAUCCCCACGAUGUCUCUCCUCACCCACGACAAAGACCUGACUCGGGGCAGCCACAUGGCCACUUCUCCCCUCUGCAUUGAUGCACGCAACGCGUGCCCGCGCGUGCCCCGUUUGGUCAGGAGGACGCGGACGCACAGCACGCUUGCACAGCCACCCCUGCUCCUACUGUUGCGUCCGUGGAAGUCCUAAACCACGUCCGCAAACCGUGGUUUCGGCCCCGAGCCCUCUCUCGCUCUCCUGCAGCCGUGGCAAAAACCACCGGCACUCCCCCACUUGGUGCCCCAUCACUAGCCUAUAUAUAGGCCUCCCACCUCAUUCCAGCACCUCACACCUCUCCUCCCAACCUCCAAUCGAGCACCUAGCAUCCUCAUUUGAGCAAGGAGAGCCCCGAUUCACGAAAUCGACCGAGGCGCUGCCGCUUCGGAGCUCCAUUGAUCUCGGCCUAAAAGCCUGCUCUCAAGCUCCUCUCUCAUUCCUAGUGACCGCAGCGAGCUCAGAGACCUUCUGCACCACUCCCCCGAGCUUCUCUCCGCUCGGAACGCUCUCCUCCACCUCAACCCAAAGCUCCUCCGCUGUGGUCUCAUUGUCGCCGGUGACGCAGGCCCUCCCCAUCAGUCUUUCGACCCACACUAGGUAGGCGGAGAUGCCACGACCUCGUUUAUGUGCUCAGUUGGCCACGAGUACAUCGAAGUCGCCACCGGCGUGCCUCCCCUCCUCUCUGUGUGGAGGUGUGAGAUGACCCUGACUGGGGGUCCCACCUGUCGGUGGCCAGUCUCUCCCACUCUCUCCCCUUUGUGCCGUUGACCGCAGGAGCCCGCGCGUUAGGUACAAACCUGACAGCGUGCGCGCCUCGGCUGGCUGGUUGGUUGGCUGGCCGAUUGGCCAGUUGAGCCGACCCAGCUGAUGGCCGAGUCAGUCCAAGGGCUGAGCCCUUUUUCUUUUCUUUUACAAACUGGUUUUUAGAUUAUUUCUACAGGAUAAAUUAUUUCAUCAAAUUUAAAUAUUUUUCCACCAUAAUUCUUCUAAAAAUAUGUAGAAUUUAUUAAUGUUGUUGUACAAAUUUUUACAAAGACUUUUCUGCACAGCUUGAAUUAAAAACCUAGUUUGAGUAUUUUUAGCUUCUCUUAAUAAGACUUUUAAAAUAUCUUUUUACUUCAAAAACAGAAACGAACAAUUUUAAAACUAAAGCUAGAAUUUCCCAGAGUAGGUUAAAAUUUUUCAAAUGAGUUUGUCCUCUAUUUGUGAGUGUGCUUAUUAUUAUUAUAUUUAUUAUGAUGAUAGAACAUGCUUUGGACGAAGGACUUGGACCCGAAGACCUCGAAGACCCCGGAUACCUAGCUGAUCAAGCCAAGCAACCAUUUGACCAUGUCUAAGAAAAUGAUUUAUGCAUGACAUGUUGAUUAUUUUAUUCUGAUGCAUAUAGUCAAGAUUAAUCGGUACACCCCGGCAUGGUGUUACGGAUGGCUCCUCCGGAGCACUUGCAUUGAGCAUGACCUUACCAUCUAUGAGGGUCACGUUGAUAAAUGUUGACAAGUAGAUAGUAGUGCUACGCAUAGGAUGAGCAUAUGCAUGGUGAUGGUAACACAGAGUUGAUAUCAAAGGUUUUACGAAAACCCCGUCGGGUACCACUAAUGCCCGAGGGUGAUGGUGUUGAGCUGGAUGACCACUUGAGAAAGAAGUGGUGUACCAAAAAGAUUUUGUGUGAUUGGUUUCGGAAAGUGGAUUAGAUUUAUGAUGUGUCGACCAUCCCAACCUUACAUGUGCGACCACAAUACCCCUUUAUGGGAAGGGGCUUUGUUAAUUACUUUGGUCGGUGCUAGCAAAGAGCCCGCAUUACUAGUGGCGGGAGUGAUGUGGCCACUCUCGUGAUGGGGUCAUACUAGGUAGGUCCACUAUGUCAUUUCUACGUGUUCCGGGCACACCGUUGGCCCUGCAUGGAUGAUACGGUCCAGAGGUUGUGCUCGUAAGACGUACAUCAUGUGGGCUGGAUACCAAUCGAGUGGACUCUUUUUCUAGUGUCAUCAAGGUAAAGGCAAUGAUCGGGUACUUACCUCGGGUAUGUUAUAUACCGCGAUUCGUGGAUGACACGGAAGUUUCCGGAUCUCGUGGGUACAACGUACAACCUUUGCAGAGUGUCAAACUAUUCGAAUAGUCGUGACCACGGUCAAGGACAGUUUGGUAAUCCUGCUUAAACUACGUCCAGUCCUUUCCGCAUAAACCAAGUGAGUGUGUGUGUGUGGUUGAGAAAGAUAAUAUUGUCAAGUCCGAUGACUUGGCACAUAGGGUGAACCUCUGGUGUUCAGCCCGCAGUAGAUAUGAUGAUAUUUGAGACCGUUAUCAUGAUUACCAUCUAGCUUAUGAUGCAUAUCCGUAUAUGUAUUUGACCAUGCUCAUUUUAAUUAAAAAUUGUUUUUUGCAAAGGUUGCAUAUUACUUUAUUUUUGCACCAACUGCAUUAUCCAUAUCAUGGGGUGUUUGCGAGUACAUUCAAUGUACUCACUGGCUUGCUACUGGUUAUUUUAUUGAUCAGACAUGGAGGAACCAGAGUAUGGAGAAGAAUUCAUCGUCGGAGACGGACACGCGAACUAGGACGCUUCCCAGUUAGAAUGCCUGUUGGUUAAGGCUGAUGGCAUAGGUUCCCGUUUAAUACCAAGUAUUCAACUAGUAGUUGUGUUGGUAUGAUUGUCCUUCUAAUACCUAUCUAUGUAAGACUUUACCAUGAUGGUCCUUUAUUGUAUCAGACAUUAAUUUCGGAUGUAAGACUCUUGUUAUUCAGCAUUUGUGUGUUCAGUGAGCAUUGAUCUCUAGGAUCACUGUACACGUGCAAUCAGUGAUCUCGACGCAUAAGUCGGGGUCCCCAUAGACAUUUUGUUGUUUAUGUAUCGAUACAUGUAUCAAAGUUUGUGAUCAAUACAAUUCUAGCAUGGAUAAUAAACAUUUUUCAUGAA